UUCAUCUUCUCAUCUCUCCACGUUUUUCUUUUCUUAUUUCUUGGAUCCGGGCUGUUCCUUUACUCCCUUGUGAUCGCCUAUUAUAAAAAAAAAAAAAAAUCGAUAAAAAAGAAAAAAAAAAGUUUUGGCUUGAAUCACCUUCUGAAGAGAAAUCCAGGGGGAGUGGUGGAAGAGAAAUCCUGCUGGCUGAAGAGAAACCCAGCCUUAGGACAGUUAAGGCGGAUCCAUUUCAAAAAUCUCUUCAUCUUUCUUUCUCUUUUCUUUUUCCCACAAAAGUUUGUUUUGGGUUUUGAUUGCUGAAUUUUG
This 306-nucleotide long non-coding RNA is filed under the name Brassica rapa (field mustard). Its description in RNAcentral is "long non-coding RNA (BRAP_LNC007595)". The record is from RNAcentral. Lineage: Eukaryota; Viridiplantae; Streptophyta; Magnoliopsida; Brassicales; Brassicaceae.